Molecule: ribosomal RNA, 497 nt
Filed under: uncultured bacterium
Lineage: Bacteria
Description: partial 16S ribosomal RNA
Rfam family: Bacterial small subunit ribosomal RNA
Source: RNAcentral
GAUGAACGCUGGCGGCGUGCCUAAUACAUGCCAGUCGAGCGAACAGACGAGGAGCUUGCUCCUCUGACGUUAGCGGCGGACGGGUGAGUAACACGUGGAUAACCUACCUAUAAGACUGGGAUAACUUCGGGAAACCGGAGCUAAUACCAGAUAAUAUAUUGAACCGCAUGGUUCAAUAGUGAAAGACGGUUUUGCUGUCACUUAUAGAUGGAUCCGCGCCGCAUUAGCUAGUUGGUAAGGUAACGGCUUACCAAGGCAACGAUGCGUAGCCGACCUGAGAGGGUGAUCGGCCACACUGGAACUGAGACACGGUCCAGACUCCUACGGGAGGCAGCAGUAGGGAAUCUUCCGCAAUGGGCGAAAGCUUGACGGAGCAACGCCGCGUGAGUGAUGAAGGUCUUCGGAUCGUAAAACUCUGUUAUUAGGGAAGAACAAAUGUGUAAGUAACUAUGCACGUCUUGACGGUACCUAAUCAGAAAGCCACGGCUAACUACGUG